GAUGAACGCUAGCGGCAGGCUUAAUACAUGCAAGUCGAGGGGCAGCGGGAAUAGCAAUAUUUGCCGGCGACCGGCGCACGGGUGCGUAACACGUAUACAAUCUGCCUCUUACUGGAGGAUAGCCCGGAGAAAUUCGGAUUAAUACUCCAUAACAGCUGAAUAGGCAUCUAUUUGGCUUGAAAGCUCCGGCGGUAAGAGAUGAGUAUGCGACUGAUUAGCUUGUUGGUGUGGUAACGGCUCACCAAGGCUACGAUCAGUAGGGGAUCUGAGAGGACUAACCCCCACACUGGUACUGAGACACGGACCAGACUCCUACGGGNGGCAGCAGUAAGGAAUAUUGGACAAUGCCCGC
Molecule: ribosomal RNA, 352 nt
Filed under: uncultured bacterium
Lineage: Bacteria
Description: bacterial SSU rRNA
Rfam family: Bacterial small subunit ribosomal RNA
Source: RNAcentral